UUUCAUUAAUUAAAAGGUCCAAGAAUAAUGUUACUUUUGUUGUCAGGAAACAUAAAAUCAUAUAUGAUUUCAUACCAAAACCUCGUCGUAACAAAAAUGUAAUACUUUUCUCUUGACCCGUAAUGAGAAAUGUAGCGUGAGUACCACAAUGUUAACCUUAGACGUACUUACCAUGGACCAUAAAUUUAUGCUAAGGGUUCAAACAUGUACUUUGACAGUUUGACAUAUAUAUACAUUAUAUAUUGUAUGUACAAUAAGGGUAGUGAUGGCCCGCAUGAAUAGCUCGGUUAACUUUUGAGUGAUAGAUUGUGUGAAUAGAGCCCUAGUCAAUCCCAGUAUAGAAGUUUCAAUUCAGCAUUCAGGUC
Molecule: long non-coding RNA, 365 nt
Organism: Ipomoea nil (Japanese morning glory)
Lineage: Eukaryota; Viridiplantae; Streptophyta; Magnoliopsida; Solanales; Convolvulaceae
Exons: 3
Source: RefSeq, a predicted model, not a curated record